This is a small nuclear RNA of Dipodomys ordii (Ord's kangaroo rat), 161 nucleotides long. Its record names the gene U1. It matches the Rfam family "U1 spliceosomal RNA". From Rfam's summary of the family: U1 is a small nuclear RNA (snRNA) component of the spliceosome (involved in pre-mRNA splicing). Its 5' end forms complementary base pairs with the 5' splice junction, thus defining the 5' donor site of an intron. There are significant differences in sequence and secondary structure between metazoan and yeast U1 snRNAs, the latter being much longer (568 nucleotides as compared to 164 nucleotides in human). The record is from Ensembl. Lineage: Eukaryota; Metazoa; Chordata; Mammalia; Rodentia; Heteromyidae.
AUACUUAACAUGGCAGAGGAGAUACCAUCAUCAUGAAGGUGGUUUUCCCGGGGCAGGAGCAUCAUUGCACUCUAGAUGUUCUGACCCUUGCAAUUUCCCCAAAUGUGAGAAACUUGACUACAUAAUUUGUGGUAGUGGGGGACUAUAUUCACACUCCCCCU